Molecule: long non-coding RNA, 838 nt
Organism: Paramisgurnus dabryanus
Lineage: Eukaryota; Metazoa; Chordata; Actinopteri; Cypriniformes; Cobitidae
Source: RefSeq, a predicted model, not a curated record
GUGUAAGUGUGCAUUAGUACAUGCUAACGAUAUUCAAAAAGUACGUACCUCAAAGAAAACGAUGACGCGAGUUAUCGUCUCUAACGUUCGAGGACUACAAAAAACACUCGGAUUGUAGGCAACAGUUUACUUCCUGGGAUUAGUGACGUAGAUAAGACCAACAUUAUCAUAGUUCAGCCCUCUCUGCUUUGCUUGGGUAUGCCCUCAAAGACGGGGGUGGGGAGCGCCGAGUCAGAAGAGAGCUAAAAUGGCGGAGGUUGUGAGUCCCUGCUAUGACUCUGUUUGCAAACUCUUGUUUCAUUGUUUAAGCGAUUAAAUCUCUCGAGUAGACGCUGUCUCUUUAGAUGCGUGGGAAAAAUAGCACUUUAUGGACUUCCACAGAGGACAUCAUGUUUAAUACGGUUCCGGAAAAAUCCAGUCAGAAGUUGUUCACGGAGUUUUCACAAUAACUGCUUCUCAUCAUGAACCGAAGCUGGAUUUGCGCGACGUCUCCUCUUGAAAGUUGGAUUACUGUGCACUUCUGGAUCACAGGCUAUUCGCAGCUGUACACAUCCUUCUACACUGUAUGCAAACAUGCAACAUCAUUACACACAGUACAAGGAGUCAGACUGGCAAAUGAGGAGCAAAGGAACCCAGACAGUAGCAUCGUUUCACAAUGUUUCCAUCACCAUCAUCAGUGGAUGCCUUUGCCGUCUGUAGCCUGAGAUUUCAGAUUUGCAGCAAAAAAAAAUUGAUUUUCUCAUUUAUUGGAAUGCUGUGCAGGUCACCAAGCCGUAACAAAAGCAGGAGAGGGAAAGUACAAGGCUAUGUUCCCAAAACACACAAGUGACAUACCAUA